GACGAACGCUGGCGGCGUGCUUAACACAUGCAAGUCGAACGGAAAGGCCCUGCUUUUGUGGGGUGCUCGAGUGGCGAACGGGUGAGUAACACGUGAGUAACCUGCCCUUGACUUUGGGAUAACUUCAGGAAACUGGGGCUAAUACCGGAUAGGAGCUCCUGCUGCAUGGUGGGGGUUGGAAAGUUUCGGCGGUUGGGGAUGGACUCGCGGCUUAUCAGCUUGUUGGUGGGGUAGUGGCUUACCAAGGCUUUGACGGGUAGCCGGCCUGAGAGGGUGACCGGCCACAUUGGGACUGAGCUACGGCCCGGACUCCUACGGGAGGCAGCAGUGGGGAAUAUUGCACAAUGGGCGGAAGCCUAAUGCAGCAACGCCGCGUGCGGGAUGACGGCCUUCGGGUUGUAAACCGCUUUCGCCUGUGACGAAGCGUGAGUGACGGUAAUGGGUAAAGAAGCACCGGCUAACUACGUG
This 468-nucleotide ribosomal RNA is filed under the name uncultured bacterium. RNAcentral describes it as "partial 16S ribosomal RNA". It matches the Rfam family "Bacterial small subunit ribosomal RNA", at positions 28 to 507 of the family's 1533-position model. The record is from RNAcentral.